GCAUUAACUAUGUCUCAUAUGGUUUGGUGUGAUAGUCAUUCGUAAUUUUAGUAUUUUUCUUGCGGCAUUAUUUCAUUUUUUUUUAUUGAUAUUUGAAAAGAGAAAUCGAUAAAAUAUGCUAUUUAUUGAAGUUAGCUUUGAGAGACGUCUUUGUUAUACAUAAAAUGUUAUAUUAGGGUUGAGUGAAAAAAUAUUUGAAGUUUUGGGA
Molecule: long non-coding RNA, 208 nt
Filed under: Elaeis guineensis (African oil palm)
Lineage: Eukaryota; Viridiplantae; Streptophyta; Magnoliopsida; Arecales; Arecaceae
Description: long non-coding RNA (EGUI_LNC006715)
Source: RNAcentral